AUGGACGCUUUGGUUUGGAAGAAUUGGGAUCCUCCGAAAUACAAACUCUCUGUUUGGCUCAUCAUCCAAAACCGUGUUUGGACAACGGACCGACUUGAACAUAGAGGGUGGCCUAAUGGUCGCCUUUGCCCCCUUUGCCGCUGCGAGGAUGAGACGACGCACCACCUCCUCUUCACUUGCCGCCACUCCAUUCGCAUUUGGGGUAUGAUUAAAGAUUGUCUCAUUAUUGAUGACUUCAACCCUUUAGAGUGGGCAACUUUCAAUGAUGUUCAAUCUUGGUGGGAGCAUCUUUCCCUCGCCCAUGGGAGUAGGAGGAAGGCCAUGCCGUCGCUUAUCAUGCUCGUGUCUAUGGCAAUUUGGAACAAAUGCAACGCGAGGGUUUUCAAGCAAACUAGUGACCUCCCUUUGAUAAUAUUCGCUCGCAUCAAGUUGGAGGCCAAAAUUGGGUCAUCGUGGGGGCAAAGCAAUUGGGUCAUUUAG
RNAcentral lists this ribosomal RNA (480 nucleotides) under Triticum aestivum (bread wheat). RNAcentral describes it as "partial small subunit ribosomal RNA". The record is from RNAcentral. Lineage: Eukaryota; Viridiplantae; Streptophyta; Magnoliopsida; Poales; Poaceae.